GUUUUCUUUUAGAUCGAUAUUUACAUUUUAUGUUAACCUUUUCGCUACGGUAAGCUUGUGAGAAAAUAUGAUCGCUGUGAACGGAGCGCAUUACUAACUAGUCAGUCGACACUGAGAGAUCGUCCUUCGCAAGCUAAGGUUACGUCAACAAACUGUUCCGAAUCCAGAAGGGAUGGGAAACUAUUCUGCAUGUUACUAUGAUACCUCCGUAGGUUGUUGAUGCACAAUAUUUUGUGGCACGCCUUGUGGAGUCUGUCUUGGUGGCAUCUUAAUCGUUGUUGGCGCAACCUGCUUCAC
Molecule: long non-coding RNA, 297 nt
Filed under: Polistes fuscatus (common paper wasp)
Lineage: Eukaryota; Metazoa; Arthropoda; Insecta; Hymenoptera; Vespidae
Description: uncharacterized LOC122517061, transcript variant X2
Source: RNAcentral